CCUACGGGAGGCAGCAGUGAGGAAUAUUGGUCAAUGGGCGUAAGCCUGAACCAGCCAAGCCGCGUGCGGGAUGAAGGUUCUAUGGAUUGUAAACCUCUUUUAUACGGGAAUAAAGUGCGGGACGUGUCCCGUUUUGUAUGUACCUUAUGAAUAAGGAUCGGCUAACUCCGUGCCAGCAGCCGCGGUAAUACGGAGGAUACGAGCGUUAUCCGGAUUUAUUGGGUUUAAAGGGUGCGUAGGCGGCCUUAUAAGUUAGCGGUGAAAGCCUGGGGCUCAACCAUAGAAUUGCCGUUGAAACUGGGAGGCUUGAGUAUGUUUGAGGCAGGCGGAAUGCAUGGUGUAGCGGUGAAAUGCUUAGAGAUCACGCAGAACCCCGAUUGCGAAGGCAGCCUGCCAAGCCAUGACUGACGCUGAUGCACGAAAGCGUGGGGAUCAAACAGGAUUAGAUACCCUUGUAGUC
Molecule: ribosomal RNA, 460 nt
Filed under: uncultured bacterium
Lineage: Bacteria
Description: partial 16S ribosomal RNA
Rfam family: Bacterial small subunit ribosomal RNA
Source: RNAcentral